AGAGCGCAAGGGGAAUGCCUUGGCAUCAGGAGCCGAUGAAGGACGCGACAAGCUGCGAUAAGCUUCGGGUAGCUGCAAAUAAGCAAUGAUCCGGAGAUUUCCGAAUGGGGCAACCCGGCACGGCAAUACCGUGUCAGCGUGCACUGAAUCAAAUAGGUGUACGUGGGGAACCGCCUGAACUGAAACAUCUAAGUAGGGCGAGGAAAAGACAUCAACAGAGAUUCCGCAAGUAGUGGCGAGCGAACGCGGAGGAGGCCAAACCAGAGGUCAUUGAUCUCUGGGGUAAGGACUUGCAUCAUGAUCAGAGGUAUCUAGUCGAAUGGCGUGGGAAAGCCAACCACAGAGGGUGAGAGUCCCGUAGACGAAAGAGAAGACUGACAGCGAGUAUCCAGAGUACCGCCGGACACGUGAAACCCGGUGGGAACAUGGGAGGACCACCUUCCAAGCCUAAAUACUACCUGAUGACCGAUAGAGAAGCAGUACCGUGAGGGAAAGGUGAAAAGAACCCCGGGAGGGGAGUGAAAUAGUACCUGAAACCUUGUGCUUACAAGCAGUCAGAGCACGUUAAAGUGUGAUGGCGUACCUUUUGUAGAAUGGUCCGGCGAGUUAUAGUCACUGGCGAGGUUAAGCAAUUCAGUUGUGGAGCCGAAGGGAAACCGAGUCUUAAUAGGGCGUCGAGUCAGUGGCCAUAGACCUGAAACCGGGUGACCUAUCCAUGAGCAGGUUGAAGUUGGUGUAAAAGCCAAUGGAGGACCGAACCCACGUUCGUUGCAAUGACCGGGGAUGACUUGUGGAUAGCGGAGAAAUUCCAAUCGAACUCGGAGAUAGCUGGUUCUCCCCGAAAUAGCUUUAGGGCUAGCCUCAUAUUAGAUACCCGGAGGUAAAGCACUGAAUGGCCUAGCGCCCGAGAGGGUAGCGAAGCCUAUCAAACUAAGAAUGCCGGAGUAUUGAUGUAUGGGAGUCAGACAGUGUGAGAUAAAUCUCAUUGUCAAAAGGGAAACAGCCCAGAUCUACAGCUAAGGUCCCAAAUUGUAUCUAAGUGGAAAACGAUGUGGAAAUACGCAGACAACCAGGAUGUUGGCUCAGAAGCAGCCACUCAUUUAAAGAGUGCGUAAUAGCUCACUGGUCGAGCGUCUCUGCGCGGAAAAUUUAACGGGGCUAAGAUACAAACCGAAGCUUAGGCUGCACGAAAGUGCGGGGUAGGGGAGCGUUGUGUAAGCGGAGAAACAGUAGCGUAAGCGGCUGUGGAGUUUACAGAAGUGAGAAUGCCGGAAUGAGUAGCGCGAAUGUGGUGAGAAUCCACAUGGCCGGAAACCUCAGGUUUUUGGAGGAAGGUUCGUCCGCUCCAAGUUAGGCGGGAGCUAAGGUCAGGCCGAAAGGCGUAGCCGAUGCACAGACGGUAGAGAUUCCGUCCCCACCGAAAGAUUUAAGCACAGGGACACUUUUUGAAGGUCGGAGCCAGGUGUUGGUUCUGGUAGUGAUCGAGGGAAAUAUAGUACCGAAGUCCGGCUGGAAGAGAGGCGAGAAAAGCUGUGUGUAUAUCUAAGGUGCCCGUACCGCAAACCGACACAGGUAGGUAGGAAGAAGAUUCUAAGGCCAACGGGAGAAGGGUUGUUAAGGAACUCGGCAAAUUGACCCCGUAACUUCGGGAGAAGGGGUGCUCCAGAGAUGGAGCCGCAGAGAAUCGGCCCAAGCAACUGUUUACCAAAAACACAGGUUUGUGCUAAAUCGAAAGAUGACGUAUACGAGCUGACGCCUGCCCGGUGCUGGAAGGUUAAGAGGAGAUGUGCAAGCAUUGAAUCGAAGCCCCAGUGAACGGCGGCCGUAACUAUAACGGUCCUAAGGUAGCGAAAUUCCUUGUCAGGUAAGUUCUGACCCGCAUGAAAGGCGUAAUGAUUUGGGCACUGUCUCAACAGCCCGCCCGGCGAAAUUGUAGUACCGGUGAAGAUGCCGGUUACCCGCGACAAGACGGAAAGACCCCAUGGAGCUUUACUGUAGCCUAAUAUUGGGUUUCGAUGUUGCAUGCACAGGAUAGAUGGGACACAGGGAAGCAAAUGCUUUGGCAUUUGUGGAGUGGCCGUUGGGAUACCAUCCUUGCGAUAUUGGAAUUCUAACCUGCGCCUUUGAAUCAAGGCGGGGGACAUUGUUAGGUGGGCAGUUUGACUGGGGCGGUCGCCUCCUAAAGAGUAACGGAGGCGUUCAAAGGUUCGCUCAGCUUGAACGGAAAUCAAGCAAAAGAGUGCAAACGCAGAAGCGAGCCUAACUGCGAGACUGACGGGUCGAGCAGUAACGAAAGUUGGAGUUAGUGAUCCGGUGGUAUGUGAGUGGAAAUGCCAUCGCUCAACGGAUAAAAGUUACCCUGGGGAUAACAGGCUGAUCUCCCCCAAGAGUCCACAUCGACGGGGAGGUUUGGCACCUCGAUGUCGGCUCAUCGCAUCCUGGGGCUGAAUUCGGUCCCAAGGGUUUGGCUGUUCGCCAAUUAAAGCGGUACGCGAGCUGGGUUCAGAACGUCGUGAGACAGUUCGGUCCCUAUCUGUCGUGGGCGUAGGAUAUUUGAAGAGCGCUGUCCCUAGUACGAGAGGACCGGGAUGGACGCACCGCUGGCGCAUCGGUUGUCAUGCCAAUGGCACGGCCGAGCAACUAUGUGCGGUUUGGAUAAACGCUGAAAGCAUCUAAGCGUGAAGCCAUCUCUAAGAUAAGAUAUCCCAUAGCAUAAGCUAGUAAGACCCCUCAAAGACUAUGAGGUUGAUAGGCUGCGUGUGUAAGUACGGCGACGUAUUUAGCUUGGCAGUACUAAUAGGUCGAGGGCUUGACCU
Molecule: ribosomal RNA, 2816 nt
Filed under: human gut metagenome
Description: bacterial LSU rRNA
Rfam family: Bacterial large subunit ribosomal RNA
Source: RNAcentral